GACGAACGCUGGCGGCGUGCUUAACACAUGCAAGUCGAACGGAAAGGCCCUGCUUUUGUGGGGUGCUCGAGUGGCGAACGGGUGAGUAACACGUGAGUAACCUGCCCUUGACUUUGGGAUAACUUCAGGAAACUGGGGCUAAUACCGGAUAGGAGCUCCUGCUGCAUGGUGGGGGUUGGAAAGUUUCGGCGGUUGGGGAUGGACUCGCGGCUUAUCAGCUUGUUGGUGGGGUAGUGGCUUACCAAGGCUUUGACGGGUAGCCGGCCUGAGAGGGUGACCGGCCACAUUGGGACUGAGAUACAGCCCAGACUCCUACGAGAGGCAGCAGUGGGGAAUAUUGCACAAUGGGCGGAAGCCUGAUGCAGCAACGCCGCGUGCGGGAUGACGGCCUUCGGGUUGUAAACCGCUUUCGCCUGUGACGAAGCGUGAGUGACGGUAAUGGGUAAAGAAGCACCGGCUAACUACGUG
RNAcentral lists this ribosomal RNA (468 nucleotides) under uncultured bacterium. RNAcentral's name for it is "partial 16S ribosomal RNA". It matches the Rfam family "Bacterial small subunit ribosomal RNA", at positions 28 to 507 of the family's 1533-position model. The record is from RNAcentral.